This 383-nucleotide ribosomal RNA is filed under the name uncultured eukaryote. RNAcentral describes it as "partial 18S ribosomal RNA". It matches the Rfam family "Eukaryotic small subunit ribosomal RNA", at positions 592 to 976 of the family's 1831-position model. The record is from RNAcentral.
CAAUAGCGUAUAUUAAAGUUGUUGCGGUUAAAAAGCUCGUAGUUGGAUCUCGGCAGGCAGGGGGUGGUUCGCUCUUAGCGCUACUGCCCCAUUUGCCUGUGUGAUUGGCGGAGGUUUCGGGGUGCUCUUCGUUGAGUGACCCGGGGCGCCGUCAGGUUUACUUUGAAAAAAUUAGAGUGCUCAAAGCAGGCUUUUCACGCUUGAAUAUUCGUGCAUGGAAUAAUGGAAUAGGAACUCGUUUUUAUUUUGUUGGUUUUCGGAAAUCGAGUUAAUGAUUAAUAGGGACAAUUGGGGGCAUUAGUAUUCAGACGACAGAGGUGAAAUUCUUGGACCGUCUGAAGACUAACUACUGCGAAAGCAUUUGCCAAGAGUGUUUUCAUUAA